RNAcentral lists this ribosomal RNA (322 nucleotides) under uncultured eukaryote. Its description in RNAcentral is "partial 18S ribosomal RNA". It matches the Rfam family "Eukaryotic small subunit ribosomal RNA", at positions 1470 to 1796 of the family's 1831-position model. The record is from RNAcentral.
CCCUUAGAUGUUCUGGGCCGCACGCGUGCUACACUGAGUGGAUCAGCGGGUCAGGUUGCGCGAAAGCGUUUCCUAAUCUUUAAAUCCGCUCGUGAUGGGGAUUGACGGUUGCAAUUUUCUGUCAUGAACGAGGAAUACCUUGUAAGCGCGGGUCAUCAUCCCGCGCUGAAUACGUCCCUGCCCUUUGUACACUCCGCCCGUCGCUCCUACCGAUUGAGUGGUCCGGUGAGGCUUUGGGAUCUGAGCGGAAAGAGCGUUUCGCUGUUUCUGCUCGGAAAACUCAGUCGAACCUUAUCAUUUAGAGGAAGGAGAAGUCGUAACA